GUUAGGAAUAUUGGACAAUGGGCGAAAGCCUGAUCCAGCCAUGCCGCGUGAACGAUGAAGGCCUUCGGGUUGUAAAGUUCUUUAGCCGAUGAUUAUAAUGACUGUAGUCGGAAAAUAAGCCCCGGCUAACUUCGUGCCAGCAGCCGCGGUAAUACGAAGGGGGCGAGCGUUAUUCGGAAUCACUGGGCGUAAAGCGUGCGUAGGCGGUUUUGUAAGUUAGGAGUGAAAGCCCAGGGCUCAACCUUGGAAUUGCUCUUAAAACUGCAAGGCUCGAAUAUCGGAGAGGAUAGCGGAACUUCCAGUGUAGCAGUGAAAUGCGUAGAUAUUGGAAGGAACACCAGUGGCGUAAGCGGCUAUCUGGACGAGUAUUGACGCUGAGGCACGAAAGCGUGGGGAUCAAACAGGAUUAGAUACCCCAGUAGUCC
This 425-nucleotide ribosomal RNA is filed under the name uncultured bacterium. RNAcentral describes it as "partial 16S ribosomal RNA". It matches the Rfam family "Bacterial small subunit ribosomal RNA", at positions 354 to 796 of the family's 1533-position model. The record is from RNAcentral.